RNAcentral lists this ribosomal RNA (375 nucleotides) under uncultured bacterium. Its description in RNAcentral is "bacterial SSU rRNA". It matches the Rfam family "Bacterial small subunit ribosomal RNA", at positions 524 to 898 of the family's 1533-position model. The record is from RNAcentral.
UACGGAGGGUGCAAGCGUUAAUCGGAAUUACUGGGCGUAAAGCGCACGCAGGCGGUCUGUCAAGUCGGAUGUGAAAUCCCCGGGCUCAACCUGGGAACUGCAUUCGAAACUGGCAGGCUAGAGUCUUGUAGAGGGGGGUAGAAUUCCAGGUGUAGCGGUGAAAUGCGUAGAGAUCUGGAGGAAUACCGGUGGCGAAGGCGGCCCCCUGGACAAAGACUGACGCUCAGGUGCGAAAGCGUGGGAAGCAAACAGGAUUAGAUACCCUGGUAGUCCACGCCGUAAACGAUGUCGAGUUGGAGGUUGUGCCCUUGAGGCGUGGCUUCCGGAGCUAACGCAUUAAGCACUCCGCCUGGGGAGUACGACCGCAAGGUUGAA